Molecule: long non-coding RNA, 1420 nt
Organism: Syngnathus acus (greater pipefish)
Lineage: Eukaryota; Metazoa; Chordata; Actinopteri; Syngnathiformes; Syngnathidae
Exons: 2
Source: RefSeq, a predicted model, not a curated record
UGCAAAGACGUCUGGAAACUAUGGUGCGCACUUAGUAUAGCCAGGAAGUUUGAAGUGGGUGCGUGCGUGCGUGCAUAUAGAAGCACUGGAAAAGUUUUGAUCUGAGUGUUAGUGAGGAGAGACAGGAAGAGGCUUGUGGGUUGACAUGAGGCUUGCAUGUGUCUAUACAUUAGUGUUUAUGUGCUGGUGGAAAGGGUGGGGGGCUUCUUCACAUAGAGAGGUGCAAAGUAGCUACGCCAACAAGAAGGGUGGAGAUGAGAAAGAGCGAAACCGUUAACAGAUACUGAGGACCACACCAGUAUAUUCUGGAUACCCGAAACGGAGCUGACAAACAGACACGUGUGAAUGCCCGCUGUGUGGUGGGGCGUCUUGGCACUUGCUUUGUGCCGUGCCAAUAAAAGCUGACACCCAGUAGACCAUUACUGGCAGCCAUGCAUGAGAUGGGAUGAGGCGCGCGCAAGAGGAGUGGACCAUUCAUUGUUUAUUUAUUUCAUUCUCACUGAGGAUGCUGAUGGAGGAGGAAGGGGCGCGUUGGGGGGGGGGGGGGGGGUCACCCUUUCACUCGAAUAUUGGACAGCACCCCUUCUGUCACCUAUACCGGCAUCCCCUAUAAUUAACACUCCUAUUUCCACCUAAUGACUCUUCCACUCUUCUUUUUUUCGUGUUUCUUUUCUCUUAUGUAGCAAUCGUCGCCUUAGUGGCAAAGUUCCGUCCAUGGGUGUUAAAGUAUGCUGAAUAAACUUUUAAAUGUCUUUCCAUGGAUACAUAUGCAAUUAGAUGCAUGUUCAAUUCUGCAAAAUCUGUUUACUUCAUCAAAAUUUACAAUGUCAACAAAACAUAACAUGCCAUAUGUUAUUAAAGAAAUGGCUAAUUAUGAGUUGAAUGUACAUUCAUUAACCACUGUAUAGUCUCGUGAAACAAAUCCGGACAUAUUACAACAUGAUCAUAUCAGACAAGCUAUAUCAUAUCAUGGGAUAUAUUAUGGAAAUUGAUUUCUUAUUAGCUGGUAUACCAAUUGUUGGGUCAUCUGAGUGUCUGCACACUCAUCAAGUGUGAAAUUAAACAACCAAUGAAAUUAAAUCUAUACUACAUUUUUCUUGAAAAUGUGUCUGUGAUUCAGGCCAGCUGAAUUUUGUCCAAUUGUAAAGUGACAGUCUAAUUUACAUUUUAAGCACUCUUACUACACAGAGUUUCUCCGCCCAUGACUUGGCUGGGAGAAUAUCGGCUGUGUUCAAAUCCAAAAUGGAGGAAGCAGAGCUGCACUGAGUUUGACAAACUUCCAAAAGGGACAAAAAGCAGGUGUAACUUGAUCCUCGGGGGUAUUUUGUGACAAGAACAGACAUUUUUGCAAGACACAUGUGGAUUGUUUUGAAUUGCCAUAAAAACAAUAAAUAAAUAAAUACAUAAAUAAAUAGUCAAG